This 760-nucleotide ribosomal RNA is filed under the name Protopulvinaria pyriformis. RNAcentral describes it as "partial large subunit ribosomal RNA". It matches the Rfam family "Eukaryotic large subunit ribosomal RNA", at positions 392 to 880 of the family's 3401-position model. The record is from RNAcentral. Lineage: Eukaryota; Metazoa; Arthropoda; Insecta; Hemiptera; Coccidae.
AGAGUACGUGAAACCGUUCAGGGGUAAACCUGAGAAACCCAAAAGAUCGAAUGGGGAGAUUCAUCGUCAGCCGCCUUGGCUUCCGUGUGGCGUGCGAUGACGCGAGACUUCGGUUUUGCGUUACGCCGUCGCUGCGGUAUGUCCGAGGUGGUCGUCGUGCACUUCUCCCCUAGUAGGACGUCGCGACCCGUUGGGUGUCGGUCUACGGCCCGGUUGGUUGCCUGGCGCGUCGCGUUCACGCGCGUUCGUGUCAGACCAUCGGUUGCCCGGCCGGCUGCCUGGCGGUAUUGAACGAUAUUAUCCUUCUGGUAUUGAGCCGCACAAAGUGCGUCCUGGCUCGUCGGCAGGCUCGUCUCACCCGGAUUCACGGACCUAGUGCCGUUGCUGGGUGCUUGGCGUGUCGUUAGUCGGCGAUGUCCUCGGACUGGCUCUUUAUAUUCGCCUCGCGCGGAUAUACCGGUCGGCGACGCUACUGCUUUGGGUACUUUCAGGACCCGUCUUGAAACACGGACCAAGGAGUCUAACAUGUGCGCGAGUCAUUGGGAUUUAUUUUAAACCUAAAGGCGCAAUGAAAGUAAAGGUCGUCCUAGCGUCGACCGAGGGAGGAUGGCUCGCGUCACGAUGCGAGCCCGCACUCCCGGGGCGUCUCGUGCUCAUUGCGAGCUGCGGCGCACCCAGAGCGUACACGUUGGGACCCGAAAGAUGGUGAACUAUGCCUGGUCAGGAUGAAGUCAGGGGAAACCCUGAUGGAGGUCCGUAG